GAGCGUGUAGCUCAGUUGGCUAGAGCACUACCUUGACACGGUAGGGGUCGUAGGUUCAAGUCCUAUCACGCUCACCA
RNAcentral lists this transfer RNA (77 nucleotides) under Lentisphaeria bacterium. RNAcentral describes it as "tRNA-Val". It matches the Rfam family "tRNA". Rfam says of the family: Transfer RNA (tRNA) molecules are approximately 80 nucleotides in length. Their secondary structure includes four short double-helical elements and three loops (D, anti-codon, and T loops). Lineage: Bacteria; Pseudomonadati; Lentisphaerota; Lentisphaeria. The record is from RNAcentral.